RNAcentral lists this ribosomal RNA (250 nucleotides) under uncultured bacterium. Its description in RNAcentral is "partial 16S ribosomal RNA". It matches the Rfam family "Bacterial small subunit ribosomal RNA", at positions 524 to 773 of the family's 1533-position model. The record is from RNAcentral.
UACGUAGGGGGCAAGCGUUAUCCGGAUUUACUGGGUGUAAAGGGAGCGCAGGUGGCAGGGUAAGUCAGAUGUGAAAGCCCGGGGCUCAACCCCGGGACUGCAUUUGAAACUAUUCAGCUGGAGUGCAGGAGAGGUAAGCGGAAUUCCUAGUGUAGCGGUGAAAUGCGUAGAUAUUAGGAGGAACACCAGUGGCGAAGGCGGCUUACUGGACUGUAACUGACACUGAGGCUCGAAAGCGUGGGGAGCAAAC